AUCCGGGUUGCGGACAGUGUCUGGUGGGUAGUUUGACUGGGGCGGUCUCCUCCUAAAGAGUAACGGAGGAGCACGAAGGUUGGCUAAUCCUGGUCGGACAUCAGGAGGUUAGUGCAAUGGCAUAAGCCAGCUUGACUGCGAGCGUGACGGCGCGAGCAGGUGCGAAAGCAGGUCAUAGUGAUCCGGUGGUUCUGAAUGGAAGGGCCAUCGCUCAACGGAUAAAAGGUACUCCGGGGAUAACAGGCUGAUACCGCCCAAGAGUUCAUAUCGACGGCGGUGUUUGGCACCUCGAUGUCGGCUCAUCACAUCCUGGGGCUGAAGUAGGUCCCAAGGGUAUGGCUGUUCGCCAUUUAAAGUGGUACGCGAGCUGGGUUUAGAACGUCGUGAGACAGUUCGGUCCCUAUCUGCCGUGGGCGCUGGAGAACUGAGGGGGGCUGCUCCUAGUACGAGAGGACCGGAGUGGACGCAUCACUGGUGUUCGGGUUGUCAUGCCAAUGGCACUGCCCGGUAGCUAAAUGCGGAAGAGAUAAGUGCUGAAAGCAUCUA
RNAcentral lists this ribosomal RNA (546 nucleotides) under Escherichia coli. RNAcentral describes it as "partial 23S ribosomal RNA". It matches the Rfam family "Bacterial large subunit ribosomal RNA", at positions 2238 to 2783 of the family's 2925-position model. Lineage: Bacteria; Pseudomonadati; Pseudomonadota; Gammaproteobacteria; Enterobacterales; Enterobacteriaceae. The record is from RNAcentral.